Molecule: ribosomal RNA, 429 nt
Filed under: Bacteroidota bacterium
Lineage: Bacteria; Pseudomonadati; Bacteroidota
Description: Bacteroidetes bacterium partial 16S ribosomal RNA
Rfam family: Bacterial small subunit ribosomal RNA
Source: RNAcentral
UAGGGAAUCUUCGGCAAUGGGGGGAACCCUGACCGAGCAACGCCGCGUGAGUGAAGAAGGUUUUCGGAUCGUAAAGCUCUGUUGUUAAGGAAGAACGAGUGUGAGAAUGGAAAGUUCAUACUGUGACGGUACUUAACCAGAAAGGGACGGCUAACUACGUGCCAGCAGCCGCGGUAAUACGUAGGUCCCGAGCGUUGUCCGGAUUUAUUGGGCGUAAAGCGAGCGCAGGCGGUUAGAUAAGUCUGAAGUUAAAGGCAGUGGCUCAACCAUUGUAGGCUUUGAAAACUGUUUAACUUGAGUGCAGAAGGGGAGAGUGGAAUUCCAUGUGUAGCGGUGAAAUGCGUAGAUAUAUGGAGGAACACCAGUGGCGAAGGCGACUCUCUGGUCUGUAACUGACGCUGAGGCUCGAAAGCGUGGGUAGCAAACAGG